AUAAUAGGACACAAUCUGACUUUUGUUUACAUUAAAAGACACAUUGUCUCCUUUGCACACUUUCUCUAGACAGCUGUCUUUUCUAUGACAUAAAUAACCUUGCUUUUUGUGUAAGGAGGAGUGUGUUUCUUUUAAGAAGGCUACCGUAAAGUGAAGAAGUAGAAACUAAGUUUGUCUUUAGUUACACAAUAAAUGAUAAAGGUUAAAAGAAAAAGGUAACUGUAUGGGAAAAAGUGAAUUGUUUAAGGACGUUAGAUCUAUUUAUAUGCAUAAGAUCUAAGGCUGAGAAUAUAGUUUAAAUAUUUGGAGAUGUGUUUGGUAAUGGGUGGAGUUCGUGGUGGACAAAAAGAAGAUGGUCGGAUUGGGGUUCUCAGGUGUAUUGUGGAUGGGACUCUCGUGGUUUGUGUGAUUGUUGUGGUGGUCAGAUGUGUUGUGGAUGGGACUCUUGUGGUUAGGGGGAGUGUUGUUGUGGUCGGGAGUGUUGUCGUCAAGGCUCUGGUGGCCAGUUUGUGAAUGGAUGCCGAUGUUGGCUUUAGUCUGGUGACAAUGCUAGUAUGAUCUUGUAGGCUUUAGUCUGGAUGGAGGUAGUGUUGUACAGCAUAUUAGUUAAUGAUAUGGGAGUGGCUUCCAAGUGAUUCUUCUUCCUCACAUACUCAGUUCGUGGAAUUAAAGUACAUGAAUAGACAUAAGCUGAAAGGCACAUUGAGAACAAAACAAAAGGUGUCUAUUAGGUGUAUCAUGUGUGGCGACAUGAGACGGGUUAUUGUGGUUGGGUGAGUUGUGGUCGGGUAAGUCAUGGUUAGGCGUCAGCUGUAUCCAUAUCCACCACCAUAGCAUCCACCAUCACGACAUCCAUAACCACCUCCUCCUCCUCACGUCUUCUACCUCCGUAUCUACAUCCGCCACCACGACAUCUACCAUCGCGGCAUCCACCACCACAAUCAGACAAUAAACUAACUUUUCAUAUAUGAAUCAGUUGCGAAGAGUCUCACGGGAAGACGGUGGUCUAUGGCGUCCUCUGCAGAAUCUGAAAAAAGGAAAAAUCGUUAAUGGUGGCUGUGGGUGGAAGAUGAAGGAACAACGGCGGCGGAGACAGAGUACGAAACGGAACUCACCUUCCAUGGCGGGUUUUUCUCAAUCAACGGUGGCUGGCUGUGGUUAAUGAUGAAAUCAACUAUCGCCGGAGAGGAUCUGAUUUUUAGAAACUUGAUUACGGUUUGGCGAAGGUUUGAGUUUCUAGAUCUACAAGAAAUCGGGGGAGAGAUAAAACUAGGGUUUGUCUCUUGAAAUCUACAAAAUGAAAAAGAAAAAAAAAGAUAGACUCUUUCAAAAUUCAAGUAAAAAAUAUCUGAAAAUAUAUUAUUUGUUUUAUUUUUACUAGUUAGGAAAACCAAUUGUUCUGGUUAGAGAAUUCAUGAAACCCACUUUCACUAAGAGGUGAGGGUUAAGCUAGACAUUUCACUAAGAGAAAGUGUCCACUAAGACCAAAGUGUCUUAAAGUGUAAUUCAUAAGAUGAAUUGUGUCUGUGGGCGUAAAUAUCUC
RNAcentral lists this long non-coding RNA (1543 nucleotides) under Brassica napus (rape). Its description in RNAcentral is "long non-coding RNA (BNAP_LNC008976)". The record is from RNAcentral. Lineage: Eukaryota; Viridiplantae; Streptophyta; Magnoliopsida; Brassicales; Brassicaceae.